Molecule: ribosomal RNA, 819 nt
Filed under: uncultured bacterium
Lineage: Bacteria
Description: bacterial SSU rRNA
Rfam family: Bacterial small subunit ribosomal RNA
Source: RNAcentral
GCAUGCAAGUCGAACGAGAAUUUACUCUUCGGAGUAAAGGAAAGUGGCGGACGGGUGAGUAACGCGUAGGAAUCCACCUUUUAGUGGGGAAUAGCCUCGGGAAACCGGGAUUAAUACCGCAUGUGGUCGCAAGACCAAAGACUUCGGUCGCUAAAAGAGGAGCCUGCGUCCUAUCAGGUUGUUGGUGAGAUAAUGGCUCACCAAGCCUAUGACGGGUAGCCGGUGUGAGAGCACGAUCGGCCACAAGGUCACUGAGACACGGGACCUACACCUACGGGUGGCAGCAACUGGGAAUAUUGCGCAAUGGGCGAAAGCCUGACGCAGCGACACCGCGUGUGGGAUGAAGCUCCUCGGAGUGUAAACCACUGUGGCAAGGGAAGAAUUAAUGACUGUACCUUGCUAGAAAGCACCUGCUAACUACGUGCCAGAAGCCUCGGUAAUACGUAGGGUGCAAGCGUUAUCCGGAUUUAUUGGGCGUAAAGGGUUCCGUCGGUGGUCUUCUAAGUUUCAUCUUUAAUACUGGGGCUCAACCCCAGAUACAGGGUGAAAAACUAGUUGACUUGAGUUUGUUCGGGGUAACUGGAACUCUCGGUGUAGGGGUGAAAUCCGUAGAUAUCGAGAGGAACGCCAAUCGCGAAGGCAGGUUACUAGGACAUACUGACGCUUAUGGACGAAAGCUUGGGUAGCAAAAGGGAUUAGAGACCCCUGUAGUCCAAGCUGUAAACGAUGCUCGCUAGCUGGUUGGUCUUCGGAUUGACUGGCGUAAGCUAACGCGUUAAGCGAGCCGCCUGGGAAUUACGAUCGCAAGAUUAAAACUCA